AUUCCAGCUCCAAUAGCGUAUAUUUAAGUUGUUGCAGUUAAAAAGCUCGUAGUUGGAUUUCGGAUGGGUGACACCGGUCCGCCGUUUCGGUGUGCACUGGUGGCGCGCGUCUUGCUGUCGGGGACGCGCUUCUGGCCUUAAUUGGCUGGGACGCGGAGUCGGCGAUGUUACUUUGAAAAAAUUAGAGUGUUCAAAGCAGGCCUAAGCUCUGAAUACAUUAGCAUGGAAUAACGCUAUAGGACUCUGGUCUUAUUGCGUUGGUCUUCGAGACCGGAGUAAUGAUUAAGAGGGACAGUUGGGGGCAUUCGUAUUUCAUUGUCAGAGGUGAAAUUCUUGGAUUUAUGAAAGACGAACUUCUGCGAAAGCAUUUGCCAAGGAUGUUUUCAUUA
This 389-nucleotide ribosomal RNA is filed under the name Pyramimonadales sp. RNAcentral's name for it is "partial small subunit ribosomal RNA". It matches the Rfam family "Eukaryotic small subunit ribosomal RNA", at positions 582 to 975 of the family's 1831-position model. Lineage: Eukaryota; Viridiplantae; Chlorophyta; Pyramimonadophyceae; Pyramimonadales. The record is from RNAcentral.